Molecule: long non-coding RNA, 8499 nt
Organism: Oncorhynchus masou masou (cherry salmon)
Lineage: Eukaryota; Metazoa; Chordata; Actinopteri; Salmoniformes; Salmonidae
Exons: 4
Source: RefSeq, a predicted model, not a curated record
UUUAUCUAGCCAAAAUAAAACGUUUUACUAUGAUUGGUUUAGUCUGCAUAUUAUGCAAUGUAUAACCCAAUCAUGGAUGGAUACGCGUAAUGCGCACAUAAAGACACAUCCGUGAAUUCGAUUAUCUGGCCCGGGUUGGUCCCUACCCCAUGGAAGUUUACAUUUAAAAUAGUUAAAGAGCGACUGCCCCUAAAAAAACAGCGAUGUGGCAUUGAUAUGAGUCAAACAUUUAUUCUAGUGUCAAACUUGACUAUAAAGUGCUAAAAUAAUAAUUUUGUUCAUGAAGUCAGUCUUGUCUGAACCUCGGGGCAUCACACCGAGUAAAUGAAUGUUGGGUUUCGAUUACAAUUAUGUCAAUAAAUCAUGCCCCCUUUUGUCAAACUCCACGUGUAAAUUGCCCCUCCCACUUCGUUUCCUUUCAUGGAUUGAACUCAAUUGUUUCUUCGUCCUAAACCAAAGCGACCAUGGCCGUUUGAGACUGAAAAGCCCUAUACGGAUUGAUCAUGCAAUGCAUGCUUUCAGCUAGGUUGAAGGUGGGUAUAUUUUAAGGAUGCACACCCAACAACUAUGGUUUGCAUGCCCUGCAGAAGGACUCCAUCAUGCAAGUUUUAUUCCGUUGGUCCCCAGUGGAUGUCAGUAUACCGGCCGACCAUAGACUGCUGGUUAUGUACGGUCCGUAUAUUUUGAUAACUAUUAUCACUAUUAUAGCUGACACAGCUAGCUAAUGUCCGCCUACCUCAAUACAACUCGGAUUUAGCUUGGAAAAAAUAACAUUUCAAAAGAAGACAAAUACUUACUUAAAUACAAUCAUUUUGUCAUGAUUGAGAUGUCGCCAUAUUAACUUCAGAUGCAGAUUUGAAGGGACCGCUGUAUUUUAGCUAGCUAACAUUAGCAUUUUUAGCUAUUUUUGACAAACUUUGAUAGUAACAGUAAUGAGUUGCAACCGAUCUAAAGUAAAUGUGACAUAAUUAUGGCAAAGUUGUUUGCAACUAAUUAUUUGCCUACUUUGGCAAUGUCAUAUUGCCAUGCCACUUGAAAUUAGUGUAAUUUAGACGAAACAAUCACAAUAGCCUCUGAGGCGCAGCCCAUGUCUUCUAGGGCACAAAUAAAUAUUGGAUGCAGUAAUGGCGAUACUAGCUAACUCAUGUCUGACUACAACAGUGUCCCAACUAGCAGUAACAAACUCAGUCAAUCUACAUCUGUAAAGCAUAGAAGUAGCUUUCAAACGAGAUUACCUUAUUUCUCGAGCUGUGUUUAUAAUUUAGGUAGGAUGACAAUCGUUGACCCUGUUUUUCUGUUAAACAAAGUGCCAUACUGGGUGCCAUACUGAUCCCGUGGUCAUGAACGGAUGCUGGGACCUACCAGAAGGAGCAACGUUUGUCAGGCAAGACCUCAGAAUAAGUGUUUCACAACAAGUACUCUUGUGACACCUCAUCCAUUGUUGCCAGUCUCCCUCAACUCUGAUGAAAAGGACACGCCAUCAUGAGGCCUCUGACCGUGAGUUACUGCCCUGACGACACAGAUGGCUUCAUCGACAGGCACUUCCAGUCAACACCACCUAAUAAGAUUGGCUGCUGCAGUUGUUUGAGAGAUUUCCAGUUUGCAGCUGAACAUGCAGCAUAGAGAAGACAAGCAAGGGGUCCCUCAUCAGCAUCAUGCAGACAUGCCCUCACAGUGAGCAUUCCUAUGAAUGGAACAGUUGUGGCUGACUAGUAUCCGACCAGUGACCUUCACUUGUCAGCGGCAACAGCUUUCACAGGAUCAUCAUUUGUACAACUACAAACACUUCAUUAUUUUGAUACAUUUGAUUACAGAAAUUGUGAAACAAUUUAUGUAAACUGACAUUAGUUAUUGCUUAUUUUCUACUUCUUAGUUGUGUAUAAUGUCCAGGGCAUAACCUAGCCUGGUUGAACCAGCCUGAUCCCUGUGUUCACCAAAUAAUUUCACUUCAAAUUUUAUAUCUGAAGUGAAAUAGAGAAGGUGAAUGGAGCAAUCAGGAUAUUUCUACCAAGCUAAUCAUAUCCACCAUUGAUAAUGUAAUCAGUGCUGUGUGUGUGACCGACCAGUAGCUGAUCUACGCUACUAUGUCCAUCAAUAGGGCUCUGGCAAAGACCUCACCUCCAGCCUCACAUCUUGCCUGCUCACCAACAGUCUUUGAUGGGGAGAACAGAAUUAGGUUUAGGCUGACCUGUUUAAACUUCAACAUAGAAACAUGGAUGGGGGCUGCACAUGGAGACUUGCAAGAUGAUGGUAUGAAGUCCAGACUGACAGACAGGCUUGAUACUUGUCUCUGAAUGGAGAGACCUGGCAGUAUGGAGAGGGAAAACCCCUGUAUGUUCUGCACCAGGAUCAGAUAACUCCUGUUGUAUGCAGGACACCACACAGGAAGGUAUGACCACUCACAUUGCCAAGGCAGCCCCAUUACCACCAGACAUAAUGCAGAUGGGCACAGUAUCUGUAUCGGCUGGGAAUGACCAAAGAUGAUGGUGCACAUUGUUAUAUUCGCAGAACACAGCUUCUAUGGUAUUAUGUAGGCCUACAGACUUGCUUAUUCUACAUGGACCUGUUACUACAUUUCAAAAUGAUCAAGGAAGAAUAUCUUAAGGCAGGCUGCCUAUUUUGAAUGCACUGGUUGGAGUAGAAGUUGAUACAGAUGCAGCUGUCCCAGUCAGAGGGCAAGGAUGGGGACUUGAGGUUAUGGUUUUUAGUUGCAGCUCCCAUUUGAUCCUUUCAAUUAUCCAUUUCACUUCUGUAAGUGCUAAAAAAAGAGAUUUGCAUUAGUAUAAUUUUACAAACAUUCCAUUAUUCCUCAAAUACAUUCUUAAACAUUUACAAAAUAUAUUCAUCUCAUAGCAAAUCAAAUAUUACUAUCCAUACGCAGCAACAUCAAAACAUACUGCCACUAAUAAUGCAUCGAAAUGCGCUCUAUACUCAUGAAAAAGCAAGUAAAAUGUAAACAAUAUUUCAGGUUACUCACAUUGGACACUGGGAAAGCACAGAUGACAGAAAUAAAUGCGGGAGAGUUCUUCACAACUGCAUUGGUUGUUUGGCACUGAAUUAAAAAGACAAAGGAACUCAGGUAUUUAACAAGGCAAAUUGGUUGUAGGUGCGCACAGAGCCAGUGUUGCCAACUUAGCGACUUUGUCGUUAUAUUUAGCGAGUAUUCAGACCCCUCGAGCGACAAAUAAAAAAACAAAACAACUAGUGACAAAUCUAGCAACUUUUUCUGGUGUUAUUGGAGACUGAUGUGAAAGCACGUAUCGUUCUUACUCUUCUCAACGAGUAGUAGGUGCUGUCUUGGGCCCCACCCCAUCCCAAAGCACUCACAGGCGGCCAAGUCCUCGCCAGCAGUCCCUCCCAGCUGCAGUCAGAUCAGGAGAUGUUCACCCCUCCGCGUCCAGACUGCAAAUGAAUCACGCAUGCGGGAAGCCACCGCUGGCUGAUCCCACCCUGAUUUACAUAAAAACAAAUACAAUUAAACUGAAUUAGGGCCAGACUUGUUACCAUAAUUUUCUCACAUUGCCAUUGACAGUUUUUUUCUAUUGUCUCCUUUUGGUCCAUUUAGAUUGUUAAUGUCGCUUGUAUACAACAAAAAUGUUUAAAAAAAUGUUAUGGUUAAAAAUGUUUAAUGUUUUCCUGUGACUUGUUGUAAACCAAACCACAUUAAGAAAACUAACACAUAAAAUAAAAUAAAAUAAAAAACGAAGUAACUCCGCCAGAGUGUCUAUUUUGGGUCACUUUUGCCCGGAUAAAGGAGGAGGGUUGGAAUUGUGACAUAAUAUACCCAAGAAUCGACAGAAGAAAGUUAAUUUGUAGUUCUAAACAUAUUUAGGGUGUUUUUUACUCACUUUAUGUCUCUCCCACAGCGUCCAUCACAAUUAUGUUCACAUGGCCAAUUAUGCAAAUUAGAUGAUGACAUAAUUUAGUGACUUUUAGGACAGCCAAUGAACUACUUUCCUAACUGAGGAGUUGGCAACACUGCAAGCCAGUCAUCCUCACUACAAGCCCUCUCUGCCUCAGCACUGCAUUACACAUUCCUUUCAGGUGACUGUUUUAAAAGAUCAGGAACCAGUAGCUAGGUAAAACAAAAAAACUGGGCCAGAUGAAUCAUUCGAACAAAAAUAAAUUAGCCAGCCAGCUAACAUUAGCUAGCUCGCCAAGCCAAAAAUAAUUGACCUGCCAGUCCAUCUGCAAGUCUAUGGGUCAAAACCACCAGAAAUGUGCAAUAAAACUCAAUGUUAUCAAAAACAGAUAAAACAAUUAAAAACACUUAAAUGUACAUAGAGCUCUCUGCUUAGGCUGCUGCCAUGGCAACAACAUAGCUGUAAUGUAGAAGUAUGUUUGAAAAACCUAGCAACUUGGGUGUGUUCAUUUAUUCAUUCUGGAGUGCACUCUGGGCGUUGUCAGAUUGUUUGUAAAUUCAGAGCGCUCAGCCUGUCCAAGGAGUUGGGUUGAUCCAAGCGUUCUGACCUCAACCUCAGUCAAGCACCAAAGUUAACCGGCUAACGUUGGUUAGCUUGCUAGCUACGUCCAGACCAGUGGCGAUUUUAACAUGUAAAUCUUGGUGGGGAAAACUCAAACAUAAAAAAAAAUGCAUUCCAGCAAAAACACAACACUAAAAAAUACAUUAGUUGCACUAUAACGGUGGCAAGUGGUGCCCACAAACUGUUAAGGCCUACAUAAAGCUGGCCCAACAGCAGAGCUUUCUUUCCAGCACAAUGGAGUGAAUCCUUUCCACCGCUACACCUGGCUGUCAAUGGAGCCUUGUUUGUCAGCGAAACAAUUAAUUCAGCCUCGUUUAAAAACAUAGCUGAUAUGGCUGACUUGCUUAAGCAAAUAUGGCUUCUACUUACAAUUGAGAUGUACAAACGAUGGCAUAAGGGAGCGAUAAGAGUCAUUCCGUAAUUUCGAUUAAGACAUUAAAGAGCGAAUGACAACGGACGUAGUCAAUAUAGUAACUGUGUUCGGCACUUUUGAAAUGUACAGCAACAGAAUGCAGAACGUGGGCUACUCUUGCAGUAUUUAACCUGUACAACAAGUCAGAACCAUAGGAUAAAUAAAGGGAGCAGACAAUGAAACUUACAAUAUUAGAUGAUGACAUUUCUCAAAAACUGGUUGAAAGGCUACAAGUGCAGCGCCACCGAGUCAGAACAGUAAUGUUAGGCGAAAUUAAAAGGUGAAAAUAGACCAAAUUAUGGGCUACUAACAGCUUACUACACAACAUACACCUAGUAAUACUUUCUUAGCUACAGUAUACAUAUCUCCCUUGCAUAUUGCAUAAUUUAUGCAGCAGCAUACAAGACAUUUUUGGACUCACCUUGGCUUGGGAUGUGCUCACUUAAACAUGAAGGUGGUGCGGCGGUUAUGUCAUCAAACUUUGUCAAACACACAGCCACUCCAUUGAAUAACAGGCUACUGGUUGCUUUGCACUGCUUGCAGUCAGCCACUGAUUCCUUACAAACGACUCAUUGUUGAAUUUGCGAUUUCCAACUUGUUGUGUAUGCAACGGAUGUGAAACGGCUAGCUUACUUAGCGGUGAUGCGCGCUAAAUAACGUUUCAAUCAGUGACGUCACUUGCUCUGAGACCUUGAAGUAGUAGUUCCCCUUGCUCUGCAAGGGCCGUGGCUUUUUUGGAGCGAUGGGUAACAAUGCUUCGUGGGUGACUGUUGUUGAUGUGUGGAGAGGGUCCCUGAUUCACGCCCGGGUAUGGGCGAGGGGACGGUCUAAAGUUAUACUGUUACAUGUAAUCUUUAUGGCCGAUGAGCACCGAUACGCUUUAUCUAUAAUUUCUCUUCAUAUGACAAGGAUUAAAAAGCAUUUGCCAGUAGAUUGUCAACUUGAUUCAUCAUGAUGAUUCCUAGCUAAGACUUUGAAAGUAAGAUGUUGACAUGAUCAGUCCAAUCAAAACUACUGUACAUAUAAUCUGAUUUGAUGUAAUUUUAUCUGUGGCCAAUGAUCAUGAGCCUUCUUGGAAGGGCACUUGUAAUAUAACUAUGGCAGGACCCAAAGAGCUGAAAUUUUGGAUGUUGUAAUGGUUUUCUUCUGGGGAAAGAGAGGCGGACCAAAAUCCAGCGUGGUUAGUUUUGUGCAUCUUUAAUAAAGAUGAAAGUACAACAAUCUUCAAAACAUGAAAAACCAAACCAGUCCUAUCUGGUGCCACAAACAUAAAGACAGGAACAAUCACCCACAAAACCCAACACAAAACAGGCUACCUAAAUAUGGUUCCCAAUCAGAGACAAUGACUAACACCUGCCUCUGAUUGAGAACCAUAUCAGGCCAAACAUAGAAAUAGACAAACCAGACACACAACAUAGAAUGCCCACCCAGCUCACGUCCUGACCAACACUAAAACAAGGAAAACACACACGAAUGAUGGUCAGAACGUGACAGAUGUCUAUUAUUUCUCUUUCUCUAUGGACAUAAACUUUGCGAUGACGUUGUGUCCUCAUGAGUGACAGAACACUGAACCAAUCACGGCGUAAUGCUCCUAUUUUUUGCUGGCACGCCCCACCACCACAGAAAGCACUGAGCUAUGCUGAAACACCUGCAUUUUGGAGCUGCCUUACUCAAGAAAACAAAUAAUAGAACAUGAGUGUAUGCAGCUUUAUUAACUCAGUGAUAUAUUUUUUUUUACAUUGUUUGUAAACUAAUAUGUGACACGUAUUAAUUCCAAAAUAACAUGCAAAACAUGCAAGCCCUCUUUUUUUGUGCUAAAAAUGUGGGGCUCAAAACAGCACAGCACAAAACAGCACAGUUACCAAUGCUCAGGAAAACAUGAAAACAGCCUAACAGGCUCUGCCCCACCUACCCUGAAUGACGGGUCGCCACUGGUAUAGACACAAAUGAGAGAACACCUCACUCUGACUAUUUUACUUGCUGUAGCAGAGCUGGUUAGGCUCCAAUCCUCUCAGGUUUUCUAUCGAGGAAAACUCAAUUACAGCCAUUAUAGUGCAGCAAUCAGAACAGUCAGAGUGGAUCUGAAUGAAAGGAUACACUAAAAAAGAGCCUAUUCUUAUUGUUCUGUACAGCAUUUUUUAUAAUCAAAUCAUAGAAAGUUCAGUAUACACAUGUGUCAAAAGGGGAAUGCACAUGAUGCAAGGCCAUCAGAAAAACUGGCAGACUCUGGAUGCUACUAUAUUCUUGUUUCAGGGCAAUAGCCUACACCACAUACAGUUGGCUACUGUGCCAGAGCCAUACAGCAUAUACAUCAUUGAGAUCUUGACAUGAUGCCUUAAUUCCUGGGAUAGAUUAAUAAUUGCACCAAUUCAUCCCAUCCAAAAAUGAGAAUGUUCCUCAACAGGGAAACCCCUUGCAAGGUUACAUGAUGGAAUAAGAGUUUGUCUUAUGACCAUUUUAAGUGCAUUUAUAAACCCUUAUUCAACCAAGCUUUUAAUAAUAGGCUUACAAUUUGGAAAGCAUGAAUGACUUUCACAAUGUUAACCAUAACUUUUUAUUAUAGUUUCUAAAAAUGUUUAAUUGAUGGUUAAAGUAAUUGCCCGAUUUUCAAAUGCACCAUUAAAUUAUUUGACAAUUUGUAAGUAUUUUUUUGAUGUGGAAACAUUGUGAACCCGUCUUUGCGAUUUGGGCCUGUGCAUCUGACUCCAAAGCCCUUUAUUGCAGGGUUGUGUCAAUGAGGUGGUCGGGUUUUCAGUUGUCUAACACUUAUUACAUGGUUUGUGCAGGCUGAGAUAUGGUGCGUUGGGUUGCUAUCGGAAACGGAAACAUUUUAACCAGCAUGGUAACAAGCAUUCGUUGUUGCACCCCGCAAUUACCACCAGUUACAUGUUAUUACAGUGUCACUAUACAAUACUUGUUACAGGGUAAUUACAUUGAAUAAGAACCCCUUAAAAUGAAGCAUUACCAAAAUACCUGAUUCAAUUAAAAUAUAUAUGAGUGCCUUCUAAAUUUCACAAUAAAUUGAAUACCUGAAUUCUUACCAAAAUCACUGAACUACAUUAAUUAUUUGUCCGUGCCAGUAAAAGGUUUCAUGUGCUAUAAUUCAGAUAUGUCACAACUUCCGCCGAAGUCGGUUCCUCUCCUUGUUCGGGAGGGGCUCGGCGUCGCCGGUCUUCUUGCCAUCAUCAAUUCACUUUUCAUUUUCCUUUUGUCUUGUCUUCCCACACACCUGGUCUCAUUUCCCUCAUUACAUGUUGUGUAUUUAACCCUCUGUUCCCCCCCAUGUCUUUGUGCGGAAAUGUUUAUUGUAAGUGUAUGUGCACAGUUUCUCUGGUGCGCGACGGGUUUUGUACCUAUUUGUUUGUUGUUCUGGUUUCUGGUGGUAUUUAUGAAUAAAACUGCUCAGUUGAUUACCCAGUUUUGCUCUCCUGCGCCUGACUUUCCUGCCACCAGUUACUCACUCCUUUACAAGAUAAUAUCUGAUGGACUAGAAAAAUCCCUAAAGUUUAGAGUAUCUUCAUCCUUUGUCCAACUGUUGCAUUUAUUGGAAUUGUGUUUAAAACCUAAAACCUACCGUUGCUACUGAAAGGCUGUAAGGUUGAU